GGGGGGGGGUGGCGGCGGGCGUGACGGGGGGAGGGGGAGGGGGAGGGCCCUGGUGGUGUGGGGUGCUCGAGGGGCGAACGGGUGAGUAACACGUGGGUAACCUGCCCUUGACUUUGGGAUAACGUCAGGAAACUGGGGCUAAUACCGGAUAGGAGCUCCUGCUGCAUGGUGGGGGUUGGAAAGUUUCGGCGGUUGGGGAUGGACUCGCGGCUUAUCCGCUUGUUGGUGUGGUAGUGGCUUACCAAGGCUUUGACGGGUAGCCGGCCUGAGAGGGUGACCGGCCACAUUGGGACUGAGAUACGGCCCAGACUCCUACGGGAGGCAGCAGUGGGGAAUAUUGCACAAUGGGCGGAAGCCUGAUGCAGCAACGCCGCGUGCGGGAUGACGGCCUUCGGGUUGUAAACCGCUUUCGCCUGUGACGAAGCGUGAGUGACGGUAAUGGGUAAAGAAGCACCGGCUAACUACGUG
This 468-nucleotide ribosomal RNA is filed under the name uncultured bacterium. RNAcentral's name for it is "partial 16S ribosomal RNA". The stretch from base 50 to 468 matches the Rfam family "Bacterial small subunit ribosomal RNA", at positions 36 to 507 of the family's 1533-position model. The record is from RNAcentral.